GUCCUCUUGAUUAUAUUUUGAGGUCUGGCCUGCUCACUGGCAAGAUUUUGAAGAGCCGCGGUAUUUUGACCGUGCAAAGGUAGCAUAAUCAUUAGUCUCUUAAUUAGAGGCUGGAAUGAAUGGCUUGACGAGAAAUUAACUGUCUCUUAAUAAUAUAUAAAAUUUAACUUUUAAGUUAAAAGGCUUAAAUUUUUCUUUAAGACGAGAAGACCCUAUAGAGCUUUACAUUUUACUUAUAUAUAAUUUUUAGAUUAUCUUUUUAUAUUUAAUAAUAAUGUUUUGUUGGGGUGACAUAAAGAAUAAAUAAACUCUUUAUUAUUAAAUCAUUAAUUUAUGUUUAUUUUGAUCCAUAGUUUAUGAUCAUAAAAUUAAGUUACCUUAGGGAUAACAGCGUAAUUGUUUUUGAGAGCUCAUAUCGACAAAGCAGAUUGCGACCUCGAUGUUGGAUUAAGAUAAAUUCUAGGUGCAGGAGCCUGGUAAUUAGGUCUGUUCGACCUUUAAAUUCUU
This 507-nucleotide ribosomal RNA is filed under the name Traulia szetschuanensis. Its description in RNAcentral is "partial 16S ribosomal RNA". It matches the Rfam family "Archaeal large subunit ribosomal RNA", at positions 1911 to 2666 of the family's 2987-position model. Lineage: Eukaryota; Metazoa; Arthropoda; Insecta; Orthoptera; Acrididae. The record is from RNAcentral.